Fragaria vesca subsp. vesca is the source of this 939-nucleotide RNA transcript. RefSeq lists it as uncharacterized. The record is from RefSeq and is a predicted model, not a curated record. The transcript has 3 exons. Lineage: Eukaryota; Viridiplantae; Streptophyta; Magnoliopsida; Rosales; Rosaceae.
AAAUUUUGGUGGUAAGUGGUGUGAAAAUGCGAAACCCAUGUUCUGGGUGUGGUCAUUAUUUCUCCCUAAUCGAGGCUCAGAUGAAGGCCUAAAGCCACUGGGUGAGACUGGGUUUCUCUGACUCUCUUAUAUCUGUCCCUAUUUUGACUACCUUGUGUAUUGUUCAAUGCUGAUUCAUUACUUUCUUUCUAAUGUUGUAUGUUUAUUGCUGGAAUUUCCGGCCUCGAUUACUCGAUGCAGGCAGCGAGUGAAAAUAACAAGUUUGUGUGGAUGUGAUUAUGUGAAUGGAGCCUCUUGCUGUUCUUGAUGAACUUGUCCCAGUUAAGAAGAAACAUGUUAUUGUCAAGCCAAAGCCCACGGAAGUAAUCGAAAUCAGCACCAACUCUCUCUUUCAGUGCUUACUGCUAGAAACAAGUUUGUGUAGGCUGCUUGUGGUUUGACUAAUAAACCAAAGGAAGUGAUUGUCGAUGUUGAUGCCUAAGAUGUUGGUAAUGACUUGGCUGCUGUUGAUUAUGUUGAGGACAUGUACAAGUUCUAUAAGCUUGUUGAGCGUGUGGGCCGCCCUUAUGACUAUGGACUAGCAGCCUGAGAUCACCGAAAACAUGAGAGCAAUUCUGAUGGACUGGCUGGUUGUUGUUCACAGCAAAUUCGAACUUUCUCCAAAGACUUUCUACUUACCCACCAACGUAAUUUGCUUAAGAUUGCCAAGGAGGGAGUUGCAUACAUAGAACACUAAAUCAAUGCCAUGCUUUUUGCCUCAAAGCAUGAAGAGAUCUGGCCUCCACAGGUGGAUGACUUUGUUAGCCUUUCGGACAAAGCUUACAGUAAUGUACAGAUCUUGGUGAUGGAUACUGCGCAAGUUGGAGCGGACCUUGACUGUGCUUUCACUCUCUAUGUGUUCCUGGUCCGGUUCAUUGAAGCUGCAAUUCCCGAUGGACA